RNAcentral lists this ribosomal RNA (492 nucleotides) under uncultured bacterium. Its description in RNAcentral is "partial 16S ribosomal RNA". It matches the Rfam family "Bacterial small subunit ribosomal RNA", at positions 29 to 507 of the family's 1533-position model. The record is from RNAcentral.
AGUGAACGCUGGCGGCAGGCCUAACACAUGCAAGUCGAACGGCAGCACAGUAAGAGCUUGCUCGUACGGGUGGCGAGGGGCGGAUGGGUGAGGAAUACAUCGGAAUCUACUUUUUCGUGGGGGAUAACGUAGGGAAACUUACGCUAAUACCGCAUACGACCUAAGGGGGAAAGCAGGGGAUCUUCGGACCUUGCGCGAUCGAAUGAGCCGAUGUCGGAUUAGCUAGGUGGCGGGGUAAAGGCCCACCAAGGCGACGAUCCGUAGCUGGGCUGAGAGGACGACCAGCCACACUGGAACUGAGACACGGUCCAGACUCCUACGGGAGGCAGCAGUGGGGAAUAUUGGACAAUGGGCGAAAGCCUGAUCCAGCCAUACCGCGUGGGUGAAGAAGGCCUUCGGGUUGUAAAGCCCUUUUGUUGGGAAAGAAAAGCAGCAGGUUAAUACCCCGCUGUUCUGACGGUACCCAAAGAAUAAGCACCGGCUAACUUCGUG